UACGUAGGUGGCAAGCGUUAUCCGGAUUUACUGGGUGUAAAGGGCGUGUAGGCGGGGAAGCAAGUCAGAUGUGAAAACCACGGGCUCAACCUGUGGCCUGCAUUUGAAACUGUUUUUCUUGAGUGCUGGAGAGGCAAUCGGAAUUCCGUGUGUAGCGGUGAAAUGCAUAGAUAUACGGAGGAACACCAGUGGCGAAGGCGGAUUGCUGGACAGUAACUGACGCUGAGGCUCGAAAGCGUGGGGAGCAAACAGG
RNAcentral lists this ribosomal RNA (253 nucleotides) under uncultured bacterium. RNAcentral's name for it is "partial 16S ribosomal RNA". It matches the Rfam family "Bacterial small subunit ribosomal RNA", at positions 524 to 776 of the family's 1533-position model. The record is from RNAcentral.